Molecule: ribosomal RNA, 322 nt
Filed under: uncultured eukaryote
Lineage: Eukaryota
Description: partial 18S ribosomal RNA
Rfam family: Eukaryotic small subunit ribosomal RNA
Source: RNAcentral
CCCUUAGAUGUUCUGGGCCGCACGCGUGCUACACUGAGUGGAUCAGCGGGUCAGGUUGCGCGAAAGCGUUUCCUAAUCUUUAAAUCCGCUCGUGAUGGGGAUUGACGGUUGCAAUUUUCUGUCAUGAACGAGGAAUACCUUGUAAGCGCGGGUCAUCAUCCCGCGCUGAAUACGUCCCUGCCCUUUUUACACACCGCCCGUCGCUCCUACCGAUUGAGUGGUCCGGUGAGGCUUUGGGAUCUGAGCGGAAAGAGCGUUUCGCUGUUUCUGCUCGGAAAACUCAGUCGAACCUUAUCAUUUAGAGGAAGGAGAAGUCGUAACA